RNAcentral lists this ribosomal RNA (206 nucleotides) under uncultured bacterium. RNAcentral's name for it is "partial 16S ribosomal RNA". It matches the Rfam family "Bacterial small subunit ribosomal RNA", at positions 138 to 343 of the family's 1533-position model. The record is from RNAcentral.
GGGGGAUAACCCGGCGAAAGUCGGACUAAUACCGCAUGAAGCAGGGGCCCCGCAUGGGGAUAUUUGCUAAAGAUUCAUCGCUGAUAGAUAGGCGUGCGUUCCAUUAGGCAGUUGGCGGGGUAACGGCCCACCAAACCGACGAUGGAUAGGGGUUCUGAGAGGAAGGUCCCCCACAUUGGUACUGAGACACGGACCAAACUCCUACG